Molecule: long non-coding RNA, 205 nt
Filed under: Carica papaya (papaya)
Lineage: Eukaryota; Viridiplantae; Streptophyta; Magnoliopsida; Brassicales; Caricaceae
Description: long non-coding RNA (CPAP_LNC010231)
Source: RNAcentral
UUCAAUUAAUGAGAAUCUUAUACCAAUUUAAUUUAAUUUUAUCCAAUAUAAUAGUAAGUUUGAAAAUCAAUAAACUACAUUAUAAUGCAUUAGUUGUAACAAUUUAAAUUUUUAUGGCUCUUAGAGUUUUUUAGAACAUAAAUUCACUCGCACGUAUAUGUAAGAGUUUAUAAAUGAUAUAACCCUAGUCAUUUUAGUAUAAAAU